UACGUAGGGAGCAAGCGUUAUCCGGAUUUACUGGGUGUAAAGGGCGUGUAGGCGGGCAUGCAAGUCAGAAGUGAAAUCUGGGGGCUUAACCCCCAAACUGCUUUUGAAACUGCGUGUCUUGAGUGAUGGAGAGGCAGGCGGAAUUCCCAGUGUAGCGGUGAAAUGCAUAGAUAUUGGGAGGAACACCAGUGGCGAAGGCGGCCUGCUGGACAUUAACUGACGCUGAGGCGCGAAAGCGUGGGGAGCAA
This 248-nucleotide ribosomal RNA is filed under the name uncultured Butyricicoccus sp. RNAcentral describes it as "partial 16S ribosomal RNA". It matches the Rfam family "Bacterial small subunit ribosomal RNA", at positions 524 to 771 of the family's 1533-position model. Lineage: Bacteria; Bacillati; Bacillota; Clostridia; Eubacteriales; Butyricicoccaceae. The record is from RNAcentral.